AUUUUUAAAAGGCUGCGGUAUUUUGACUGUACAAAGGUAGCAUAAUCAUUAGUUUUUUAAUUGAAAACUUGUAUGAAUGGUUGGAUGAGAAAUUAACUUUUUUAAAAAAAUAAUUGAAUUUUACUUUUUAAUUAAAAGGUUAAAAUAAAUUUAAAAGACGAGAAGACCCUAUAGAGUUUUAUAAUUUAUAUUUAAUAUUUAAAAAGAUUAAUUAAAAUUUUAUAAAAGAAAAUAUUUUGUUGGGGUGAUAAUAAAAUUUAAAUAACUUUUAUUUUUUUUUACAUUAAUAUAUGAAUUUAUGAUCCAUUAUUGAUGAUUAGAAAUUUAAAUUACCUUAGGGAUAACAGCGUAAUUUUUUUUUAAAGUUCAUAUUAAUAAAAAAUUUUGCGACCU
Molecule: ribosomal RNA, 393 nt
Filed under: Pseudolycoriella wernermohrigi
Lineage: Eukaryota; Metazoa; Arthropoda; Insecta; Diptera; Sciaridae
Description: partial 16S ribosomal RNA
Source: RNAcentral